RNAcentral lists this ribosomal RNA (497 nucleotides) under uncultured bacterium. Its description in RNAcentral is "partial 16S ribosomal RNA". It matches the Rfam family "Bacterial small subunit ribosomal RNA", at positions 28 to 507 of the family's 1533-position model. The record is from RNAcentral.
GAUGAACGCUGGCGGCGUGCCUAAUACAUGCAAGUCGAGCGAACGGACGAGAAGCUUGCUUCUCUGAUGUUAGCGGCGGCCGGGUGAGUAACACGUGGAUAACCUACCUAUAAGACUGGGAUAACUUCGGGAAACCGGAGCUAAUACCGGAUAAUAUUUUGAACCGCAUGGUUCAAAAGUGAAAGACGGUCUUGCUGUCACUUAUAGAUGGAUCCGCGCUGCAUUAGCUAGUUGGUAAGGUAACGGCUUACCAAGGCAACGAUGCAUAGCCGACCUGAGAGGGUGAUCGGCCACACUGGAACUGAGACACGGUCCAGACUCCUACGGGAGGCAGCAGUAGGGAAUCUUCCGCAAUGGGCGAAAGCCUGACGGAGCAACGCCGCGUGAGUGAUGAAGGUCUUCGGAUCGUAAAACUCUGUUAUUAGGGAAGAACAUAUGUGUAAGUAACUGUGCACAUCUUGACGGUACCUAAUCAGAAAGCCACGGCUAACUACGUG